UUGGAUCCACAAUGUCCAGUCCAU
RNAcentral lists this small nuclear RNA (24 nucleotides) under Arabidopsis thaliana (thale cress). RNAcentral's name for it is "snRNA_01126". The record is from RNAcentral. Lineage: Eukaryota; Viridiplantae; Streptophyta; Magnoliopsida; Brassicales; Brassicaceae.